CGGCGCUCCACUUCCGGGACGGGGCUGCCGGCGGGGCAAGGCGCGCUGUCUCCCGGACUGUCUGGAGCUCCGCGGCGGCAGUGGCGGCAGUGGCGGCGCGCGGAGCAGGCACCGUCCCGGGGAGCGGCACCAUGAGCGGAUCACAGAACAAUGACGUGAAAAGACAAUUUCUGCUGGAGCGACUGCUGGACGCAGUGAAACAGUGCCAGAUGCGCUUUGGAGGGAGAAAGGAGAUUGCCUCGGAUUCCGACAGUAGCUAAUAUGUUGCUUCUAAAACCAUUUAGUGUUAAGACCAAAAAGGUGGCCAGAGAUGAACAGCUUCUAUAACUGCCUCCUUAGCCAAGUGGUGCAGUGAGUAAAUCUGGGUGAUGUGCAGACCACCCAUUAAGUGACUAUUGUUGGAAGCAUUUCCAGCUUCCCCUAAUUCUCUGUCUAGUAAUAUAGUCUGAGGAAAUUACUUGAAAUAUCUUUCUGCCUAAAGUUAUUUUCAGGGUAAUUUAUAAUGAUGAAUACUCAGAAAUGUAUAUGCCCAACAAUUGGGAGAUGGUUAGAAAAUGGAGUGCAUCAGUAGGAUGGAAAGUUAUAUAGCUAUUAAAUUGAUGCCCAUGUAGAAUUUGUUUGAAGCAGGAAAAUGCAUCUGUAGUAAAAGUCCUAAAAAUUGCUCUUGACCUUCAUGAC
Long non-coding RNA from Manis pentadactyla (Chinese pangolin), 678 nucleotides. RefSeq lists it as uncharacterized. NCBI's taxonomy places the organism in Eukaryota, Metazoa, Chordata, Mammalia, Pholidota, Manidae. The record is from RefSeq and is a predicted model, not a curated record. The transcript has 3 exons.